UUGGCUUUGCCAACCCUCCAGGUCUCUCCUGCAUGGCUAGGACCCAACGCCUAGGUCAUCCAGCACUCACCCCAACCAAAGCCAUGGGAAUUGCUGGGACCCGGAAGGUAGGGGGUGGCACAUGUGUGCCCUGUGCUCUGAAGCUGCCCCUACAGGCCCUGGAAUCCUCCCCGUGUCUCAACACACUACCCUCUGGGGAGUCAGUUCUCCCCAGAGUCCCCGUUCCUGGGCCUGGAGGGCUGCUUUGGGGCAGGAAACUUUGGCCACCAGGCCUCUGACCUGCACCAGGAGACACUGGGAGGUUUAGUCCCCAAACCCGCACAGAGCAGGACUGCAGCCUGAGGAAAGAGCAAGGAUUUCAGGAGAGAGGCCUGCGACAAGUGAGGAAAUAGAAACUUAAGAGAAAUACACACUUCUGAGAAACUGAAACGACAGGGGAAAGGAGGUCUCACUGAGCACCGUCCCAGCAUCCGGACACCACAGCGGCCCUUCGCUCCACGCAGAAAACCACACUUCUCAAACCUUCACUCAACACUUCCUUCCCCAAAGCCAGAAGAUGCACAAGGAGGAACAUGAGGUGGCUGUGCUGGGGCCACCCCCCAGCACCAUCCUUCCAAGGUCCACCGUGAUCAACAUCCACAGCGAGACCUCCGUGCCCGACCAUGUCGUCUGGUCCCUGUUCAACACCCUCUUCUUGAACUGGUGCUGUCUGGGCUUCAUAGCAUUCGCCUACUCCGUGAAGACUGGCACCCAGGCUCUCCCAGAAAGUGAGAAGGGAACUCACAGGUGACUUCACCCCAUGGUGGGGAGAACAGCCUGUGCUGGGGCCAAGGCAGAAGGAGGAUGAGCCCCGAGGCUCCUGGAGAGUCUGAGCCCGGUCUAGGGACAGGAAGAUGGUUGGCGACGUGACCGGGGCCCAGGCCUAUGCCUCCACCGCCAAGUGCCUGAACAUCUGGGCCCUGAUUCUGGGCAUCCUCAUGACCAUUGGAUUCAUCCUGUUACUGGUAUUCGGCUCUGUGACAGUCUACCAUAUUAUGUUACAGAUAAUACAGGAAAAACGGGGUUACUAGUAGCCGCCCAUAGCCUGCAACCUUUGCACUCCACUGUGCAAUGCUGGCCCUGCACGCUGGGGCUGUUGCCCCUGCCCCCUUGGUCCUGCCCCUAGAUACAGCAGUUUAUACCCACACACCUGUCUACAGUGUCAUUCAAUAAAGUGCACGUGCUUGUGA
This 1229-nucleotide long non-coding RNA is filed under the name Homo sapiens (human). RNAcentral's name for it is "HSALNT0170723". The record is from RNAcentral. Lineage: Eukaryota; Metazoa; Chordata; Mammalia; Primates; Hominidae.